Molecule: long non-coding RNA, 6638 nt
Organism: Brassica rapa (field mustard)
Lineage: Eukaryota; Viridiplantae; Streptophyta; Magnoliopsida; Brassicales; Brassicaceae
Source: RefSeq, a predicted model, not a curated record
UUGAUUCGGGUCCAGGCACCACAGAUAUCUUAUUUUCAGAGCGGAUCCGAAGAGGAUCUAUGAUCGAAUCCGGAUCUCGGAUAAUAAGUCUCAGGCCUACCCUGUGGUCAAUUCCUAUCCCCAUUUAUUCUUCUUUCUUAUAAAAAUUAAAAAUCUCUUCACUUUUAUUAUUAUUGUACUGGAGGAGGUUCGCGCUACGCGCAGGAUUUGAUGAGUCUGUUUUUACAUAAAAUAUAAUUUUGUAUAAAUUUUCUUUUAUGUUAAUUUGAGCAUGAGUAUGAUUAUGAUGUUGUAUACACCAAAUUUCAAUUAUAUAACUAAAAUGAUCGAAUUCUUAGUGUUUUUGAUGUUUUAAUCCUGAAUUGUAAGUUUUUAUAGUGUUUUAAGUUUUAAAACACUAUAAAAUACAUAAAUCAAUCGGAUUCGAUCAAAAGAGAAGGAGAUCGAGAUUUCUAAUACCAUUGUAUCCUUUUGUGAGUGUUUAUAAAAUAUUGAAGAAUGAAGUUCUCAUUUAGAGGAACUAUUUUUCAAAGUUAUUAGAAUUGUUUUGUAGAAUGUUAGUAAUUGAUAUUAUUAACAAUUGUUGUUGCUUUUUUGGCAUUUAUUUGUUUCUUUUGUGUUAUAUUUUUUGGUUAUAUUUGCUUAUAUUAUAAAUUAAUCGUAAUAAUAAGUGUAUUAAUAAGGAAAAAUAGAAAAUAAGAAGAGUCAGACAGAGCGUGUAGUUCUGAUUGCAUCGAGUCACAUCAAAUCAGCUGUGUGUAAACACUGAACCAGCCUUGAGACGGUGUCGGAAAGUGGUGAGACGUUGACCAUUCACAGUGGCUGGCAUGAGAGUCGACUGAAACAAAUCUGAAAAAGAAAGCAUAAUCAACAAACCGUUUCAAAAAAACUCAUUCAAAAGAGGUUCAAUAAAGAUCUAAAUAUAAAAGUUCUAUACUUAUGAAUGUGAACGCCCCAAUAUUUUAAAAAUACAAUAACCAUGAGAUUUAAGAACUGGAAAACCUUUGCAUCAAGGAGGAGUUUAGUCGCACCUCAAUGGUGGAAGAACAUCGGCCAUCUGAAGAACAGAUGAGUUAGCCAGCCAUUAUACUGCAAAAACGUUUUUGAUUAUCACAGGGGAUGAUGUUCAAUUGGGGAUGAUGUUCAAGAGAUGAAAGCUUACCUUUUUAUAGGUGGAGAAACACUGAUAAAAGAGGGAUACACAGCAUUGAAUGAGACUGUGACACCCGAUUUGCAUAAUAAUAAUAAUAAUAAUAAUAAUACGAUAAAUAAUAAUAUCUGAAAUUUCCAUUUAUAAAUACUUAAAAGUCAACAUCCAUGCUGGAAAUCCAUAAUAUAAAAUAACAUCCGAAAUAUAAAUAACGACAUAAGUCCGAAAUAUAAAGACAACAUAAAUCCGAAAGUCUGAAAUAGGAAAUAACAUAACGAUAAAAGUCCAAAGGCCUAAAAGCCCAAUAACGAUAAAAGAGAUAGAAGCGAUAGUAGCCCAAAAUCCCAAUAGCACCGGUCCGAUAAUCACUUCUGCUCGUCGGUCACACCUGAAAGGGGAAACAAAAGGAGGGGUGGGCAACAUGGGAGUUGCCCAACAAGGUAUGAGAUGCCCCACAAACCACUGACUCAGUUCAUAGCACUACAACUAUGUAGGCCUAGCUCUAGCAUGAAACAAACACGGUGUCUAACACACCACACAGAACAAUCAUAUGCCUAUUGCACCAUACAACGACAAACAAUGCGAUGAUAGUACAUAUGUAUUCUUUGCACCCCGCAUUUUCCUCAUAAGGAUAUACGUAUAUAACUCAGUAGUCCACUCUGUACCCCCACAAUCCAAAAGGCGUUGUUAGUACAAACAUCUUUAUACCCCGCAAUCUCCACAAACAAGGCAUAGCUAGUACAGACGUCAUGUGCCCCCGCAAUCCACAAACAUAGGCAGCCAGUACAGACGUAUCUGUACCCCGCAAUCCACCACAAAUGGACUCGCAUAUAUAUACAUAUAUAUAAUCGUUCUUAACAUCAAUCAUUUCACACAAUUGUUGAAUCCUCUAUUAUCCUAUUUCCGAUUUAAUAGUCAAUAAUAAUAAUAAAAAAAGACUCUCAAACAGACUCGAUUCACAGAGACGGGUCAUGUUUCAAAACUAAAUUUUCCAUAACGGUAGUACUAAAAUAGUUCGGUAUUUAAACGGAGAAGCCCUCACCUUAGCAACAAGAAGACGUGGUCUCUAUGAACUCCUGAUGCUCAAAUAGACUCCAAAUCUGAAAUCAGGGCAAAAAAUCGAGCCAGAACGCCUUUCGAACGGUUUAAAACGGGUCUGCUCAAGAUUUAUAGAAUAGUCAACUCGCUGGUCAAAGAUCAAUUUGGUCAACCCUUGACCAGAAAUCAAUUUUUCCUAACCGGCCUGUUUACCUUAACCGAACCGAAAUCAAUUUAAAACCGGUCAAACCAACCGGUUGACCGUGUUGACUCACCGGGUCGACUCGGCUGGGUUGGCGAGUCGCCCGCGAGUCACCGGCGCUGGUCAUCGGUGACGACUGCGAAGGGUGAUACCACUCAAAUUACCUUAAGGAGUGAUUUAUACUCUCUCAAAUAAGAGGUCGAGUUGUAGUACUUAGGGAUCAAAUUUACAUGGAGGUAGGGAACCUAGAGAUUUUAAUAUGAUUUGUUAAGAAAGAUGUUUUUAAUAGUUUUGAAAGUAAAUUGCAGUUUUAUAUUGAACAAGUAUUUGUUCAAUAGCAAGUUUUGGGGUUUUGGUGCUUAAAAAGGAAAUAGCUAGACUUAGGAUUUUUAUUCAGGUAAGUUGGAAUUAUAAUCCUGUAGAUGCCUAAUGAGUUGCAUGCAUGAUAACGUAAAGCUCAACUAUUUGAUCAACAAGUCUUUCGGCCUUUGCGAGCAUUGACUUGUUGACUAUUAACUAGAUCUAUGAUCUAACUCUCAUUACAUUGAUCUAUAGAAAGUGUCGAUCGAUAUUCCAAUGGGCGUAUCGAUCGAUACACCUAUUGCACCGCCGAUCGAUUAUUCAAGUAUGAUAUCAAUCGACGCACUCUAGUCAAGCUUUCUGCGCAGGUUGAAUGAAUGCUUACUAAGCUCACUAGAUCAGCUCUCGCCUUGCUCAUAGCAAAAAAAAAGUUCAAUUAGAAUGUUUUCAGGAUGAGAAUUAGCUAUGGCUUUUAUCAAUCAAUCCUAGGGCAAGUUCUAGGUAGCUAAUCUAGACACAUGCAUUAAUGAACAAUUCUAAAGAUGAUUAUCACAACUCAGCAUUCUAUAGUUGGGGCUAAUCUCUCCUAACCUAUUUAAACCCUAAAAUCUAACAAGAGAACUACUCAGACUUGGCUAAUCAAUUCAUAACAAUAGUUAAGUAUAAAAACUUCAUAGAAUAAAUAAGAUAAAUAUCAAUGGAGCAAUCACAAAUUAUAACUUUGGAUCUUCGCUCAUAUCUAUCAAUAAAACAAUGAAACACAAAGAAAGCACACUUUGCCUCUAACAUGGCAGCAAAGCUUAGAUAAUUAGGGUAAAACACGUCAGGGGCAAUCUUGUAAAAUAGUGAAAUCUUGGGCUUCAAGUCGGCUGUGACCAAACAGGUUUAUGCGUGCUUUGCUAUCGAUCAACACCAUUACUUGUGUAUCAAUCGAUUCUAGCUCUCCAAUAUCGACCGAUUGUCGAUAUCGAUGGUCAUCUCGGGUGCUUGCUCCAAAUAUCUCUAAAAUGCUCCAAAAUCAUCACUUAUCUCCAAAACAUUCCUGAUCUUAUAAAUAUAAUAAAUAGACUUUACAAUAAUAUAAAUAUUAGUAACACCUAUAAACUUUGAAUGAAAACGGGUCAAAUCCAUAGUCUAUCAAAGGGUGGUGGCUUACCGGAAGAGUCACCGGUGACAGCGAUGCGGCGGCGUGGCAAUGCGGCGGCGGCUUCCCAGCGUUGGACUGACGGCGGCCGAGCACGACGGCUCUGGCAAACGGCGGUCGGAGACGGCGGCGCGCGCGUGAUCUUCCAGAGGCGCGUGAGGGCUCGUCCGGACUCCGAUUGCAGCGCGGUUGGUGUCUAUGGCUUUGUCUCGACGAGAGGAACACGAUGAUGGUCUUGAAUGCACGACAUUUUCAACAGUUAGGAAGUUCUGUUUGAUUUACUAAAACGGUCGAAACUGAACUAAAUGCAUGGCGUUUUGCGGUGGUUACCUAGGGGUGCGAAUGGUGGGGACGAGUUCAGCGCGGUCACGGUGUGUGGUGGCUCCUGUGAAGAUCUCAGAACUCUACAAUUCAACUUUCCCAUUUCUCUUAACUCUCUCUUCUGUUUUCCAAUUUUUUGAUGUUUUGGAGAAAACAAAGUGGAUAGAGGUAAUUUUUAUAGAAAAAUACCAUGGGCUUCUGGGAAUGGAUUUGAGCCUCGACCUGAAUUCUUUGGGCCAGAAUUUGGGUCAUUACAGAGACAUCUGCUUGAUUUUCGUUGAUGGAGUUAAGAGGUUUCUUAAAGCCGAUGAAUCAAGACAUCGUAACGUCUUCGAGGGUAAGAACGAAAAACGAAAAACGUUUCAUCUCAAUCGACAUUCAGAGACUCCGGCUUUGGUUUAGAUCAUCACAAAACACAGAUUGAAGAAGACGAUUGGUGAGAUCGUGAAGCAGAUCGUCUCUCCCAAUCAGAUUGGGUUACAAAACUAAAUAAGAAAAUAUGAGUCCAAUAAGCCCAUAAAUAAUCAAAACCAUAAAGAAUCAAAACAAAGCGACCAAUACACAAUAAGACAUUAAUGAAACGGUGAGUUUUGUUUCAGGGGACAGGUGUCGGCAUUUCUUCUCUCUAUUUAGUGACAUGGCAGCCUAGGAGAAGAGAGACACUCCUCUUUAUAAUAAUAGAGAAAUAAUAUAAAAGGCACUGUGGUCGAUUCAUGUCCCCACUUAUUCUUAUUUUUUAAAAUAAAAUCUUUUCACUUUUAUUAUUCUUGUAUAAUAUAAAAGGCAAUGUGGUCGAUUCAUGUCCCUACUUAUUCUUCUUUCUUAUAAAAGUUAAAAGGCUCUUCACUUUUAUUAUUUUUGUAUAGGAAAAUUAGAAGCAAUAACCCUAAAAUUAAUUAAGAAAGUAAAAACAUAAUUAAUACGGGAAACCCUAAUGGGAUUCUUAAUAAAUAUUUAACUAAUAAACUUAAGUUAAGAACUUUUGUUAAAAAAAAUAAUAAUAAUCUGAGUGCUCCAAUGGUAGAACUUAAUUUAGGGUUCUUAAAAAAAAUUAUAAAACAUUGUUUUAUUAAAGAUGAAAUUUAUUUAUUAAAUAAAACAUAGUCAAAGAUAACAUUUAAAAUAUAGAUUUUAAAAUAAAAACAUUAAAACAUAGAUUAGUAAAAUAAAAGAUAAUAAUUUCAAAGAAACAUCCAAGCUCAGUUGUUAUGUUGAUCACGUCCAAAUUUACGCCAUAUAUGUUCAACCAAAUCAGCUUUCAGUUGUUGAUGAACUUGUCUAUCACGAAUUCUAGUUCGAACACUCAUCAUAUUAGCGAUAUUUGUAGGGAUAUCUGUAGAAUACGUGAGAUCCACAUGUAAACUUUUGUUUUCUUCUCUUUGUUGGAACUCUGAAACAUCAAAUUGAUUGUAUCCAUCUCGUUCGUCUUCUACUAUUAUAUUAUGGAUCUUCUACUAUUAUAUUAUGGAGUAUAUAAUACAUGAUCUCAUAAUUUUGCCAAUUUUGACAUUAUUCUAAAAAAGUGUUGGAUUUUUAACAAUGGCAAAUCGAGCUUGCAAGACUCCAAAAGCACGCUCGACAUCUUUUUGGGCAGCUUCUUGAUGUUGAGCAAAUAAAACUGCUUUCAGCCCUUGGGGAAUUGAAAUAGAUUGGAUAAAAGUUUCCUAUUUUGGAGAAAUACCAUCGGGUGAGAUAGUAAGCGAAAUGAUACUCUCUUCCAUUGACAGAGAAAGUCACUUGCUGAGCUUGACCUUUAAUUAUAUCAUCAAAAAUAGAGAAGCGAUCAAGAAUAUUGAUAUCAUUUAAUGUACCUGGAGGUUCAAAAACACAUGACAUAUCCAUAGGUCAUAUGAAGCAAGCACCUCUAAAGCGAUUGUGAGUUUUCCUGAACCACGUGAAUAUUGACAUUUCCAAGCGGUGGGACAAUUCUUCCACUCCCAAUGCAUACAAUCGAUGCUUCCAAUUAUCCCGGGAAAUCCACGAUGCUCUCCAAUAUCAAGUAGACGUUGAAGAUCAGUCGGUGUUGAUCUUCUUAGGUACUCAUCACCAAAUAACUAUAUUAUUACUAUAUUAUUCCUUCCACAAAAUUUUCCAAACAUGACCGAGUAGUAGUUGUAUCGAGCCGGAGGUAUUCGUCAACCGUAUCAGCCGCAAUACCAUAUGCCAAAACACGAAUAGCUAUUGUACACUUUUGAAGUGUAUAGAGACCAAACCUUCCAAGACCAUCUUUCUUUUGUCGAAAGAAUUGAACUUCAUUGGAGAGUCGAUCAACAAUAUGCAUGAACAAUGGCUUGUUCAUUCUAAAUUAUCGUCAGAAUAAAUACAUAGUUUACACAAGAAUACAAGACUUCAAUUCAGUCUGUGAUUCUUCCACUCCCAAUGCUCCACUCUUUCACUCUUUCAAGACCAGAAAGUAAUGACACACGACAAGGCAUCAGAACAAGAAAGCGUUUACAUAAAAUAAAGAGUAGCCAUAGUUAAAA